Molecule: non-coding RNA, 1918 nt
Organism: Mauremys reevesii (Reeves's turtle)
Lineage: Eukaryota; Metazoa; Chordata; Testudines; Geoemydidae
Source: the annotation of a RefSeq genome assembly
AUGAGCCUGGCCGCUUUGCUGCUGGUGCUGGCUCCAGGCGCGUUGGCCCAAUACACGGUGACCCAGGAGCCGUCCCAGGUCGCUGCCAAGGAAGGAGAAUCCAUCCAGCUCAACUGCUCCUACACGGGCACCGCGUACAGCGUGCAUUGGUACCGCCAGCCCCAGGGGGGCCAGCCGCGGUUCCUGGCGCUCCUGUCCUCUAGCCGCAGAGACACCCGAGAGAAUUUCACCAUGAGCCUGGACACCAAAACCAAAAGCAGCUUCUUGUACCUGAACAGCAGCCGCCUGGCAGACUCUGCUGUGUAUCUGUGCGCGCUGGAGCACAGUGCCAGGUGAGCACAGGCAGCCCGUCACAAAACCCUGGGUGGGGGCAGGGCACACGGACCCGAGAGAGGAGACAAGCAGAAGUUAGAAUAGAACAGCGGAUAUGAGCACAGAGAGAAGAAAGGAAAGUAGACCAGAGUCGGCGAGAGGCAAUAAGAAUAGAAUGGAACAGAAGAGAACACACGGGAAUGGACCGGAACAGGAGCGAUGUGAACAGAAUAAAGGGGAGAGAAGAGAAGAGGGGUCAGUAAUUUAAGGAAGAAACUUGAAGAAUCAGCUGGAAAAUUAUAGACAUUUUCACCUCUUUUGUCUUCCCCAAUUGCCUGGAUCUGUGGUUUUAUAUGAAAAAUGGCUUCCUUGUCCCACAACACUAGCAGAUAGGGAAGCAUUCCCUGGGGAGACAACACAGGAACUCAGUCAUUCCAAUGCGAUUUUCUCUGUUGUUCGGGUCAGACACUGUCAGACUGGUAACAUGCACUCAGACAUUCUCACAUACAGCCACUCACAGGACACACUCGCACAUGUUCUCUCUCUCUCUCUCUCUCUCACACACACACACACACACACACACACACGUAUACACACUUGCACAGACAAACACACUCUCUCUCACCUAGACUCACACGCACAAAUAGAUUCUAGCACACAGUCAGAAACCUAUACACUGAAAUCACACACGCACACUCUCUGAUAUAUAUCCCCCAUCAUACACACUCAGAAAUAUAGAUAUCUAUGCAUCCACACCAUCAGUCACACACACACACACACACACACACACACACACACACUUCAUCUCAGAGUCAAAGAGAUCCAUACACCCUCUUAGAUGAUAAUAUCUUUGAUUGGAUCAGCUUCUGUUGGGGAGACAAGUUUUCCAGUUACACGGAGCUCUUCCUCCGCUGGGAAGCGUGUCUCUCACCAGCAGAAGUUGCUCCACUGAAAGAUAUGACCUGACCCACCUUGUCCCUACAAUAGUGUGGGACCACCACAGCUACAAGAACACGGCACACUCCUAGAUAAACAGCCUGUCCCCCCGAAUGCAUCCCACACCCAGAGAAUUUCCUGUGUCAGACGUAGAUCUCUCGGCAAAGGGACCCAGUCCUGCCAGGGUCUGACAGACCCCACAGCACCCAUGAACUUCCUUCUCCUGCCAGGUAUUACUCCCUUUUGUACCCAGUCUUUGUUAUUCUCUCUCUCACACACACAGACACUUCCCCCCUCACCCUCAGGCAGGAUUUAAGAGCUUGGCGUCCCUUGGUAUUUUACAAGCAAAGAGCUGAGUUUACGCCAGUCCCAUCUCUUCCUGUCAGCUCUACUGAGCACAACAGACACGUGCAGUUUGUAAAACUCCAUCUGUUUCCUGCUGGCUCAUCUCUAUCCCUCCACUGUAAGGGGACUUCCAGCCAAACGCCCGCCCCUCCCUGGGCGUGACCUCCGCUGGCCUCCCUCGCCCUGUUUUCCCCACAGGGGCCCGCGGCCCAUACGCCGUCACUCAGGACAAACCUGCUGUCUCCAGCGAGGGACAGUUACCGUGGGGAGCGCGGAGCAUCCCUUGCUACCAGCAGGUCCCAGGCGCUUCCCCGCAGCUCAUGAU